CCUCUCCUCUGUGGCCCAUCCUGGGACUUCACAACCCUGGAGAUGGUGACAGCUUUCUCAAACUGGACCACAGAGCAUCCAAGAAGAUUUGUCAUUGAUGGGGGGCACCAGGGUCCCUAAUUAGAAUUAAAACCCAAAGAUUUCACCUCGUUAUCCUUCUCAGGAUGCAAGUCAUCCCAAGUUCUCCUGAACCUCAUUUCUCCAAUUGCAGUCAUUUAAGCCCAGGAUGUGAGAGAGAGCACGGCCUCCCAGGACCCUGGCAAUGGAGUCAAGCAACAGGGACCAAAACAUCUGACACCAUGGGCCGGAGUAAAUCUUUCUUCCAGUAAG
Marmota monax (woodchuck) is the source of this 330-nucleotide long non-coding RNA. RefSeq lists it as uncharacterized. The transcript has 3 exons. Lineage: Eukaryota; Metazoa; Chordata; Mammalia; Rodentia; Sciuridae. The record is from RefSeq and is a predicted model, not a curated record.